This 254-nucleotide ribosomal RNA is filed under the name uncultured bacterium. RNAcentral's name for it is "partial 16S ribosomal RNA". It matches the Rfam family "Bacterial small subunit ribosomal RNA", at positions 524 to 776 of the family's 1533-position model. The record is from RNAcentral.
UACGUAGGGCGCAAGCGUUGUCCGGAAUUAUUGGGCGUAAAGAGCUCGUAGGCGGUGUGUCGCGUCGGCCGUGAAAACCUGCAGCUUAACUGUGGGCUUGCGGUCGAUACGGGCAUCACUGGAGUUCGGCAGGGGAGACUGGAAUUCCUGGUGUAGCGGUGAAAUGCGUAGAUAUCGAGAGGAACACCUGCGGCGAAGGCGGGUUGCUGGGCUGAUACUGACGCUGAGGCGCGAAAGCCAGGGGAGCGAACGGG